AGUGAACGCUGGCGGUAGGCCUAACACAUGCAAGUCGAACGGCAGCACAGUACGAGCUUGCUCUUACGGGUGGCGAGUGGCGGACGGGUGAGGAAUAUAUCGGAAUCUACUUUUUCGUGGGGGUUCACGUAGCGAAACUUACGCUCAUACCGCAUCCGCCCUACGGGUGAAAGCAGGGGAUCUUCUGACCUUGCGCGGUUGAAUGAGCCGAUGUCGGAUUAGCUAGUUGGCGGGUUAAAGGCCCACCCAGUCGCCGAUCCGUAGCUGGACGGAGAGGAUGGUAGGCCACAUGGGAGCGUGGACAGGCACAAGAGGCCUGCGGGAGGCAGCAGUGGGGAAUAGUGGACAGUAGGCGGAAGCCUGGUCCAGCCAGACCGCGUGUGUGAAGAAGGCGUUCGGGUUGUAAAGACGGUUUGUGGGGAAAGAACAGCAGCAGGUUAUUACCCAGCUGUACUGACGGUACCGGGAGAAGAAGCACCGGCUAACUUCGUG
RNAcentral lists this ribosomal RNA (492 nucleotides) under uncultured bacterium. RNAcentral describes it as "partial 16S ribosomal RNA". It matches the Rfam family "Bacterial small subunit ribosomal RNA", at positions 30 to 507 of the family's 1533-position model. The record is from RNAcentral.